UGGGGAAUAUUGCACAAUGGGCGCAAGCCUGAUGCAGCCAUGCCGCGUGUGUGAAGAAGGCCUUCGGGUUGUAAAGUACUUUCAGCGGGGAGGAAGGGAGUAAAGUUAAUACCUUUGCUCAUUGACGUUACCCGCAGAAGAAGCACCGGCUAACUCCGUGCCAGCAGCCGCGGUAAUACGGAGGGUGCAAGCGUUAAUCGGAAUUACUGGGCGUAAAGCGCACGCAGGCGGUUUGUUAAGUCAGAUGUGAAAUCCCCGGGCUCAACCUGGGAACUGCAUUCGAAACUGGCAGGCUAGAGUCUUGUAGAGGGGGGUAGAAUUCCAGGUGUAGCGGUGAAAUGCGUAGAGAUCUGGAGGAAUACCGGUGGCGAAGGCGGCCCCCUGGACAAAGACUGACGCUCAGGUGCGAAAGCGUGGGGAGCAAACAGG
RNAcentral lists this ribosomal RNA (429 nucleotides) under Chloroflexota bacterium. Its description in RNAcentral is "Chloroflexi bacterium partial 16S ribosomal RNA". It matches the Rfam family "Bacterial small subunit ribosomal RNA", at positions 355 to 776 of the family's 1533-position model. The record is from RNAcentral. Lineage: Bacteria; Bacillati; Chloroflexota.